Molecule: long non-coding RNA, 1737 nt
Organism: Cephus cinctus (wheat stem sawfly)
Lineage: Eukaryota; Metazoa; Arthropoda; Insecta; Hymenoptera; Cephidae
Exons: 3
Source: RefSeq, a predicted model, not a curated record
UAUUUCACAAAAGAAAUAGUUUCUGCUUCUGAUUUUUGAAAAACAUCUGUGAUGAUAGUACAAACGUUGAGGCAUCGAAAGUUGGCGUUUCCUCUUAAGAUGCGAAGAUGGUGGCAAAGAGUGGAAGCGCAAAAAGAAGGAUCCUAACCACGGUAGAAGGUUUUGUAGACGAAAAGGACGUAAAUAUUUUCGAAAGCAAUGAAUUCCGAGUCUGGCAUAAGAGAAAAGCCGCGCGGACUGGUCGACUACGCGUGCUGGCAAAGCCACUGUCAAAAUACUUUGGAUAAUAAGGAUAAAGAAGAAACGCCGCCGCUGUGCGUUGUCUGAUCUUGAGAUUGCUUUAUUUGAAUCCGUUAAACACACUCCGCGAAUAUUUUUCGGUCCUACCUCGAAGCCUCGUCGCCCAUGAGCACACAGAGGCGUAACAUUAAACAUCGAAAUAAUGCAAUCUCAAAGGUAGGAUCAACCGAUAAAUAUAAUCGGUCGUUGAAAUUUGUCUGGUGCAACGUCGCGAGACUCCGACUGCACCUGUACCGUGGCAUGAGACUACGGUGGCCGUGGUAGUAGUAUUAAUAGUAGUAGUAGCAGCAGCAGCAGUAGUAGCUUAGUUCUUUUCUCUUUUUUCCUUUCAUGGUCAGUUCUUCUUCUUGUUGUUCUCUCUCUUCUCCACCUUCGACUACAUUUCAGUCUCCUCGUUCCAGCUGUACUUUAAAAGCAUCUACUUAUGCAGCCACCGGAAUGACGUUUCGGACGAGCUGCGAUAUAAAUCAGUUACUUCCGACAUCGGCCUUCAUUCACGACAAAGUUUGCCCAUUAGGGAAACGUUUAAAUAGAUAGCCAAGCCGACAAGUUCGCCAUAGCGUCGAUUUCAAUAUCGCACGACCGAUCGCCACUAAUCGGCCGAGUCGCACUUUUGGAAUCCAAACAGUCGCCAGGUUAUCGAUGAGAAUGAAAAUUCAAUGUUGUAGAAAGGGUAGGUGCCGACAAUGACACACCAGUGGCGCCGACCUGAAAUCAUAGCGAUAAAUCUAUUUUCCAUUAUUUCAUAGAAUCUCUGAAAAAUCAGUAUCUCUUUUUUUAUUCUCACGACCAUACACAAUCCUUUACGUACGGGAACAGAGGGGUUAGCCAACCCUUGAAAUAAUUUCAACGUUUUCAGGGAUACUUUUUGUUCUCGCUCUAAGCUACCUGAACAACAGACUCUCCACGUAUAUCCGAAGCUCCACAAGGUUAGGAUUUAAAUGGCGCGCGCCAUAAACCACACACGCUAACCUUCAAAAUGUUCCUGUCUGUUUGAUCAUCGGUAUGGCAGUACUACAGGGUGGUCUGGCGGAAGUCCAUUGAACGAACCCUGCCAACGAGUCUACAUCGUUUUCCUUCUUACCACCAAGUUCCUCCAAGUCAAUAGCACUUGAUGCGUGCUGUCGCGAAUACUUUUGGAUUAGAAGCAGAGUGUCCCGAGGGAAUCCCUGGACGUCGGCCUGGAAAUCAAAGAGCCUGAGGGUUCCCAUCGAUUCAAAGUCCUCCAGGCAGGAAUAUAAUAUCACGCUUGUCGUAACGAGAUGACGCAAUGAUACGGACGAAUGGUUUGUUUGUAUGUCGUAAAUGAAAUCCGCUUAGUAUGAUUGAGAUGCUGUAACGUGUACCAUUGUCAAAUGGAAGGGUGGAACUGGUUGUCAAUCGCUUUUGAAAUUAUUGACUUCAAGAAUGGGAAACGACGCACUUUUUUGGACAGAG